Molecule: long non-coding RNA, 222 nt
Organism: Phyllostomus discolor (pale spear-nosed bat)
Lineage: Eukaryota; Metazoa; Chordata; Mammalia; Chiroptera; Phyllostomidae
Exons: 3
Source: RefSeq, a predicted model, not a curated record
AAAUUCACUUAUUAAGUUGAGUAGAUUUUUUAGUGGAGUCUACAGGGUUUUCUAUGUACAUUAUUAUGUCAUCUGCUAACAGUGACUGUUUUGCUUCCACCUUUCCAAUUUGGAUGCCUUUUAUUUCUUUUUCUUGUCUUAUUGCUGUGGCUAGGACUUCCAAUAAAUACUAUGUUGAAUAGAAGUGGUGAAAGCAGACAUCCUUGUUUUGUUCCUGAUCUU